This 899-nucleotide ribosomal RNA is filed under the name Tyrannochthonius sp. 937A. Its description in RNAcentral is "eukaryotic LSU rRNA". It matches the Rfam family "Eukaryotic large subunit ribosomal RNA", at positions 68 to 922 of the family's 3401-position model. The record is from RNAcentral. Lineage: Eukaryota; Metazoa; Arthropoda; Arachnida; Pseudoscorpiones; Chthoniidae.
AAAGGGAUUCCCCCAGUAGCGGCGAAAAGGGACCCCAAAGAAUCCUGUCCCUCGGGGAAAUGUGGCGUAUGGAAGCGUUAUUUUCCGCGCGGGGUAGGCGUCUCAAGUCCCCAUGAAUGGGGCGACCGUAGCGGGUGUGAGUCCCGUACAGACGCCUUCCCCGAACGGAGCUACGUUUUCCCGGGAGUCGGGUUGCUUGAAAUUGCAACCCAAAGUGGGUGGUAUGCUCCACCUAAGGCUAAAUAUCCCCGAGAGACCGAUAGCAAAAAAGUACCGUGAGGGAAAGUUGAAAAGAACUUUGAAGAGAGAGUUCAAUAGUACGUGAAACCGCUUAGAGGUAAACGGGUGGGCCCUCGAAGUCAGGUGUCCGUUCAACCCCGGCUAAUCGAAAUUUCCACGCGUACCUAGGCGACGCCGCCGAAAGGCGCGCGGAACGUGCCGGGGCGCACUUCUUCGGUACCCACGAGGCCGCGACGGGUUGGCCGACGGUUGGAAGGAGGCAGGUUGCCCGCUCCGUCGGGUGUAUGGCCAGUAUAGCCGACCGCCGCGACCCGUGAAGAGAGGUUUCGCUUCUCGCACCCGUUUAGAAAUUACGACGGGAGUGCUAAGAAGUCGGCGGUCAGUAGGCCGGGUCCCACCCGACCCGUCUUGAAACACGGACCAAGGAGUCUAACGCGUAUGCGAGUCCGAGGGAGUCGAAUAACCCCGAGGGCGCAGUGAAAGUGAAGCCCGGAGUUGGGAUCCAAUGGCGCACCAACCCGUCCGUACCGCCACGUCGGUUGGACGGAGCGAGAGCCUACGCUGGACCCGAAAGAUGGUGAACUAUGCCUGGGCACGAAGCCAGAGGAACUCUGGUGGAGGUCCGUAUUCUGACGUGCAAAUCGAUCCCUGGUAUAGGG